This 253-nucleotide ribosomal RNA is filed under the name uncultured bacterium. RNAcentral describes it as "partial 16S ribosomal RNA". It matches the Rfam family "Bacterial small subunit ribosomal RNA", at positions 524 to 776 of the family's 1533-position model. The record is from RNAcentral.
UACGAACUGUGCGAGCGUUAAUCGGAAUUACUGGGCGUAAAGCGUGCGCAGGCGGUGAUGUAAGACCGAUGUGAAAUCCCCGGGCUUAACCUGGGAACUGCAUUGGUGACUGCAUUGCUGGAGUAUGGCAGAGGGGGGUGGAAUUCCACGUGUAGCAGUGAAAUGCGUAGAGAUGUGGAGGAACACCGAUGGCGAAGGCAGCCCCCUGGGCCAAUACUGACGCUCAUGCACGAAAGCGUGGGGAGCAAACAGG